RNAcentral lists this ribosomal RNA (371 nucleotides) under uncultured organism. RNAcentral describes it as "bacterial SSU rRNA". It matches the Rfam family "Bacterial small subunit ribosomal RNA", at positions 527 to 896 of the family's 1533-position model. The record is from RNAcentral.
CGUAGAGGCGAGCGUUGUCCGGAAUCAUUGGGCGUAAAGAGCGCGCAGGCGGCUUGGCAAGUCGGGUGUGAAAUCCCGGGGCUCAACCCCGGGACUGCAUUCGAUACUGUCAGGCUAGAGGUAGUAGGGGAGAUCGGAAUUCCUGGCGUAGCGGUGAAAUGCGCAGAUAUCAGGAGGAACACCGGUGGCGAAGGCGGAUCUCUGGGCCUUACCUGACGCUCAGGCGCGAAAGCUAGGGGAGCGAACAGGAUUAGAUACCCUGGUAGUCCUAGCCGUAAACGUUGGGUGCUAGGUGUGGGCGGAUAUCAACCCCGUCCGUGCCGAAGCUAACGCAUUAAGCACCCCGCCUGGGGAGUACGGCCGCAAGGCUA